Long non-coding RNA from Acanthochromis polyacanthus (spiny chromis), 772 nucleotides. RefSeq lists it as uncharacterized. The transcript is spliced from 3 exons. The record is from RefSeq and is a predicted model, not a curated record. NCBI's taxonomy places the organism in Eukaryota, Metazoa, Chordata, Actinopteri, Pomacentridae.
ACUUUCAUUAUAUAUAUAUAUCGACUUUCACUAUAUAUAUAUCAACUUUCAUUAUAUAUAUAUCAAGUUUCAUUAUAUAUAUAUAUCAACUUUCAUUAUAUAUAUAUCAAGUUUCAUUAUAUAUAUAUCGACUUUCAUUAUAUAUAUAUAUAUCAACUUUCAUUAUAUAUAUAUCAAAUCUUUUUUUCCUACCGAGCCCCGGAAGGGACAUGUCCGUAUGGCGAAGCGACAACGAAGGACACUCACCCGGACGAGAAUUUUAUUGAGUUUUAUUUUAAAAUCGGCCUGAAACACACAGACAUUCAAGCAGUGCGAUGCGCUAAGAGUCUGCCAUGCAGACCAGCGAUCCUGAUAAUGUUGUCGGCCUUGGAUGAUGAGGUCCAGUUACCAGGAGCACUAGUCUGCAGCUUACUGGUUCCGUCCUGCAGCUCCUCCACGCUGUCCUCCUCUCUACAGACCAAAUCAAGAAAAGGGAACCAGGAAGCUGCUGUGGAUCCUCUGCAGUAUCUGGAGAGGUCAGAGGAACGGUUCUUGGAACAGAUCGGAAGACACCAAGACGUGACCUCUGCCAUGCUCCAGAACAUCCAGAAGAUGAAUGAAAACCUUGGUUGCACUGAUGGGACGCAUGGUGUCGGUGCUGGAGCAACUGUCCCAGAAUUAAACUGCAUUGUUGACUAUUGGCUUUUCUAGAAAAUAAAUCUUUUUUAGUACUUCACCUGUUUUGUAUUUUACUCAUGCACUUUGGGUGAAUAAACAGAAAUUUGUGAUGAGA